This 460-nucleotide ribosomal RNA is filed under the name uncultured bacterium. RNAcentral's name for it is "partial 16S ribosomal RNA". It matches the Rfam family "Bacterial small subunit ribosomal RNA", at positions 338 to 795 of the family's 1533-position model. The record is from RNAcentral.
CCUACGGGUGGCAGCAGUGAGGAAUAUUGGUCAAUGGACGAGAGUCUGAACCAGCCAAGUAGCGUGAAGGAUGACUGCCCUAUGGGUUGUAAACUUCUUUUAUAUGGGAAUAAAACGUUCCACGUGUGGGAUUUUGUAUGUACCAUAUGAAUAAGGAUCGGCUAACUCCGUGCCAGCAGCCGCGGUAAUACGGAGGAGCCGAGCGUUAUCCGGAUUUAUUGGGUUUAAAGGGAGCGUAGGUGGAUUGUUAAGUCAGUUGUGAAAGUUUGCGGCUCAACCGUAAAAUUGCAGUUGAAACUGGCAGUCUUGAGGACAGUAGAGGUGGGCGGAAUUCGUGGUGUAGCGGUGAAAUGCUUAGAUAUCACGAAGAACUCCGAUUGCGAAGGCAGUUCACUGGACUGCAACUGACACUGAGGCUCGAAAGUGUGGGUAUCAAACAGGAUUAGAUACCCGUGUAGUC